Long non-coding RNA from Syngnathus typhle (broad-nosed pipefish), 2853 nucleotides. RefSeq lists it as uncharacterized. The record is from RefSeq and is a predicted model, not a curated record. Lineage: Eukaryota; Metazoa; Chordata; Actinopteri; Syngnathiformes; Syngnathidae. The transcript has 3 exons.
UCUCCCACAUAAACGCUGGCAGCAUCAACACGCGGCGGGGUGACCUUGUGUUCCAUUACGAGGGAAAGUAAAUGUCCUGUUUGGGAUUUUUGGUGACAAUGCUGCGGUUACCUUGACACAGCUAGGUGGACUCAUCUUCCAUAGCUGGGCCAAAAUGACACAUUUGGUUAAUUCAUGCCGAGACAUCCUAUUGGUUGCUAGCAAAUCUGUAGGAAAAGAGCAACCCUUCCAUUUAAAUUUGCUCUUUGUGCAAAAACUAAAAGUGACAAGAGUCAUCAGGAAUUGAACAGCCCAUUCUUUUAUUGUAGCUUUGACACACAAAGUUCUCUCUCAAGUGACAAUCCAUCUAACAAAAAAAAAAGUGGUGAGUCUUGUUAACUUGUUUAUCUUGGAGGGACAAAUACAAUUGUGGCAAGCCAAAACAAUGAGCAUCCAUCCACCAGACAGAUUUUCCCAUACGGCCGGCCGGCGCUAAAGCACAACGUGUACUUGCCGCCUGGCCGCCGCUUCUGGGGGCUGGCAUCCGAGCCAGCGAGCCAGCGGAUAAACGGCAGACGGAACAGCCUGUGAGAACACACUGUUCUAUAACAGAACAUUGCAAGAAGCCAAUCCACCGUUGGAUGCUUUCCAGGGCUCAAUGGCAAAAAGCGAGGAUAACAUUACUAAGUGCUUUUCAUGAGCGCACGUCAGAAGCCCAGAGAAAUGCGAGGGCAUCCGCCACAGUCCUCGACAGUGAUUUCAUUAGCCCCGCCUGACAUUUUUGCCACCAAAUACCAGUCACCCUGUGUGGCCCGGUACCAAAUGGCCCGGGACAGUGACUAGUUCGGUUCAUUAACCCCUAGGUUUGUGUUAUGUGUGAGAGGCCCGCUUGGCCUGGUUAUGCCAUCACACGCGCGCGACCCAUUAACUUUUGUUGCGGUAAAGCUCCCCGAUGAACGAGGCAGGAGGUCAUUGCGGGAAAAGGCGCCCAACUCAAGCAUGUAAGCAUGACUCAUGUUUUAAAAAUGAACACAUAAGACGAUGGGUAGAAGGUACACCUGAAGGCCCCUCCGCUCGCUCCCGCCCGCCCCUUAGCAACAACGCUAAAAGAGAUGUCUCCUUCAAGGCUGAAGGGACAAAAGCUGCCACGGGGAACAAAGACGGCCAGUGAGGAACACACACCCCCCGCAACGGGCCAGAUGGUCAGCGUUCAGAGCCCAUGACCCCUCCAGCCUUGGUCCUGGCGGAGAGCAUGCAACAUGGUGGCCACCCAACCAACCAACAAGCAAGUGUGGGCUCACAUGAUAUUGCUAACCUUCAUAGAGUCACUUGACCCCCGUAACUCUCCCUGGUGGAGCUUUUGUUCUUACACUCAUUUAUUGGCCACUCCAGAAUCAUUUUGAAAGCCUUUUUACGCAAGUGCAAUGCAUGUUAGCAAACAGCAGCAGUGUGACUAUGUCAUGACAUGAUCAUGUUAUUAACAUCAUCCAACUGCGCAAUUCCACUCCGGACCAAUUCAUUGAUUAUUUUUUUUGUAUUAUUCAUAUAAUAUUGAUGAGAAUUGUGCUCCCAGGAUGCAUUGAUAGGUUUAGCUCUAUAAGCAGGUUCUUCUUCAGGUAACUUGUUGAAAUUGAAGCAACAGCGCCUCUGCUGGUUACAGCCAAGCACUGCGCUUUGCUAUUCUUAAUUGUAGAAAUGGUUCAUUUGGCAAAUCCACGAAUCCUCGGCUAAAUUGAAUUAGCUUUGCCUUUACGAUUCAAAUUGAUCAGCAACAAUGGCCGACUUGAACGAGCAAUGGCAAUGUAUCGUCUGGGUCAGUCUGGCUCUGUGUGCACAUUAAGCUCCUGAGGUAUUUACAAAUUACAAACAAGGAGAGGAGGACGAGCGGGGGAGUCUGGGACGAGGAAUGCAACCUUUAGGACAGCGGCCGCGUGGAAUGGCAGAUUAGGCUCGGUGAAGACCGACUGGUUUGCCUGUAAUUACAGUCACGGAGCAUCUCCCUUGCUAGCUAGCUCUUAUCUGAUAUGACUUUAUCUGAGGAGCCCGAGCUUGUUUCGACACUAUAGCCUGCGGGGCAGCCACAGGAACGCUUGGCGGCGUGUAAAUCAAGACAUUCGGGUGGGUGUCAAACUCAAGGCCUUCGGGCCACGUACGGCCCUUAGAUGUCAAGUUGGAGCCUAGCUGUAGACUUGAAGAUCUUUUUGCCACUAUUGCUGCUCCAACUAACUAGGAAUUGACCUGAUACAUGUCCCCCCCCCUUGUUGUAUAUUUGACUAUUUAAAUAAAUACAAAAAUAAGUUUAACAUUUCACUUAUUUAGAAAUUUUGGAAAAUGAUUUACUAUAGAGAAUCAAGGAGUUAUUUCAUUCUUUCUGUUUUAAAUUCGGAAGAUACGCUGACGAUUGUGUACUGUUCUGGAUAUAAUGGCUUAUCAAGAAGAAAUUGAAAUUUGUUGAAUAUAUUUUGCGCAACGUGCCAUACACAGAACCUAAUCACACACAUCCAAGCCGAGAGAGUUUAAGGGCAUGCAAACAGUGUUGCAUCUCUAGCGGAAGGGUGCACACGGUGACUAAAGAGCACAUCGAUAGUAACCAAGAAGCAGAGUCGCAUCUCUUCAACAACCAGUCAAUUUUACACUUUGGCCUCAACAAGACUUGACCCUCAGGUUCUAAACUUAAAGUCCCCACACAUGUGCUUCUACUGUCAAAUCAUCUCAUUUAUUGAACACGGGAGAACGUGCAAACGAGAUUUUAACCUCGGACCUGAGAACUGCGAGGCAGCGCUCUGUCGACAUGACAAAUUUGGCAGUGCUCCGCCAUGACACUGGUGUGACACUAGUAAUAACACGUCGUGUAAUGGGGGAAGGGGGAAAGGA